CGAUCCUAAUCGACUGCGGCGCCUCCGCCGCAACCGUAAUCACCGGCCGGAGGUGGCAACCGGACGGCGACUUCAUAUCCGCCGGAACCUCCAAAAACGUCUCCGAACAAGUCCUCGACCAAGUCCUAUCCACCGUCAGAUCCUUCCCUCUCACUCGCCGCCGUUAGUGUAAUUUUAAAAUUUCUAAACACAUUUUCCUUUUUAUUAAUGUAUAUUAAACUCUCUUUCAUGGUACAUGGGCAUCGUUUAUUUUUUUGUCAACUAAUUUAGUCAAACUUCAUAAUACUCUUUAAAUUGGUGGACUACCCACUAUAAAAUCGCUAUUCUCUUGAAAAACAGAGACAAUAAAGUUUCCAAACCUCUUUGACAUUCAUCAUAUGUUAGUGAAGGAUGCAACUAUGAAUUAAAACAGUGUUUUCUUGUUUUAAAAAAUAUCUCAAAUUCUACGUGUUAACCCCUACGAAAAUAUUGAAUUUUCGGUAAAUGCUCUAUAUACUGAAGCCUAUGAUCUUUAGUGUUGUUUUUAAAAUUUCUAAACACAUUCUACAUUUGUAUUAAUGUAUAUUAAACUCUCUUUCAUGGUACAUGGACAUCGUUUUAAUUUUUUGACUAUUAAUUUAGUAAAACUUCAUAAUACUCCCUAAAUUGGUGGACUAACAAAUCUAAAAUCGCUAUUUUCUAGAGAAACGGAGACAACAAAAGUUCUAAACCUCUUUGACAUUCAUCAUAUGUUAGUGAAGGAUGCAACUACGCAUUAAAACAGUAUUUUUCAUAUUUUUGAAUUUUUCUCAAAAUCUAUGUGUUAACCCUUACGAAAUAUUGAGUCUUUCGGUAAAUGUUCUAUAUACUGAAGCCUAUGAUCAUUAGUGUUGUUUUAAAAUUUCUAAACACAUAUUCCCUUUUUAUUAAUGUAUAUUAAACUCUCUUUCAUGGUACAUGGGCAUCGUUUUAGUUUUUUGUCAAUUAAUUUAGUAAAACUUCAUAAUAUUCUUUAAAUUGGUGGACUACCCACUAUAAAAUCGCUAUUCUCUAGAAAAACGGAGACAACAAAGGUUUCAAACCUCUUUGACCUUCAUCAUAUGUUAUUGAAGGCUGCAACUAUGAAUUAAAACAGUAUUUUUCAUAUCUUUAAAAAAAUUUCAAAAUCUAUGUGUUAACCCCUACGAAUAUAUUGAAUUUUUCUGUAAAUUCUCUAUAUACUGAAGCUUAUGAUCUUUAGUGUUGUUUUUAAAUUUCUAAACACAUUAUACAUUUGUAUUAAUGUAUAUUAAACUCUCUUUCAUGGUACAUGGGCGUCGUUUUAAUUUUUUGUCUAUUAAUUUAAUAAAACUUCAUAAAACUCUCUAAAUUGGUGGACUAACCACUAUAAAAUCGCUAUUUUCUAGAGAAACGGAGACAACAAAAGUUUCAAACCUCUUUGACCUUCAUCAUAUGUUAGUGAAUGAUGCAACUAUGCAUUAAAACAAUAUUUUCAUAUAUUUGAAUUUUUCUCAAACCCCUUACGAAAAUAUUGAAUUUUUCGGUAAAUGCUCUAUAUACUGAAGCCUAUGAUCUUUAGUGUUGUUUUAAAAUUUCUAAACACAUUCUGUAUUAAUGUAUAUUAAACUCUCUUUCAUGGUAUAUGAACAUCGUUUAAAUUUUUGGUCAAUUAAUUUAGUAAAACUUCAUAAUACUCUCUAAAUUAGUGGACAACAAUACUUCAUAAUAUUAACCACUAUAAAAUCGUCAUUCUCUAGAAAAACAGAGACAACAAAAGUUUUAAACCUCUUUGACCUUCAUCAUAUGUUAGUGAAUGAUGCAACUAUGCAUUAAAACAGUAUUUUUAUAUUUUUGAAUUUUUCUCAAAAUAUAUGUGUUAACUAUAUUAGUCUAUAGAAACUAAAUAAAUCUGAAAUAUUGAGAGAAGGUGGGGUAUUAGAUCUAGAAGUUUGAUAGAAUUUGAAAGAAUUAUAGUUUUCAUUAAAUUCUAAUGUUAUUAAAUUAAGGAUUUCAUCAAAUUUUUCAAAAUUUUGUAUUAUUUGAUUAAAGAUUUGUAAUCAAUUUUCUAAUUCUUUUAAAUUCUAAUGUUAUUCAAAUAUUUGGUAGAUUUUAUAGUAAUGUUAUUUAAAAUGAAUUUAAUGAAAAAGGUAAUGUAAAAAUGCGAAGAACCAAUUUCGUACUCUUACGAGGAGAUUUGUCAUCGUAAAAAAACACAACAUAAAGUUAAGUCUGAAUCGAACCGGGACUAGUUGACCGUCGAUAUAAUUAUAAAUUAUUUUCACAUAGACCGUAACAGAAAUAACAGAAUAAGAUAAUAUUAUUUUCUGAAGAAAACCAAAAAUAAAAAGGGAAAUACAAAAGAAUCGUCUCCUUCCUCGCUGACUCUGACCUAUCUAUAUACUGAAACCUAUGAUCUUUAGUGUUGUUUUAAAUUUUCUAAACACAUUCUUCCUUUUUAUUAAUGUAUAUUAAACUCUCUUUCAUGGUACAUGGGCAUCGUUUAUUUUUUUGUCAACUAAUUUAGUCAAACUUCAUAAUACUCUUUAAAUUGGUGGACUACCCACUAUAAAAUCGCUAUUCUCUUGAAAAACAGAGACAAUAAAGUUUCCAAACCUCUUUGACAUUCAUCAUAUGUUAGUGAAGGAUGCAACUAUGAAUUAAAACAGUGUUUUCUUGUUUUAAAAAAUAUCUCAAAUUCUACGUGUUAACCCCUACGAAAAUAUUGAAUUUUCGGUAAAUGCUCUAUAUACUGAAGCCUAUGAUCUUUAGUGUUGUUUUUAAAAUUUCUAAACACAUUCUACAUUUGUAUUAAUGUAUAUUAAACUCUCUUUCAUGGUACAUGGACAUCGUUUUAAUUUUUUGACUAUUAAUUUAGUAAAACUUCAUAAUACUCCCUAAAUUGGUGGACUAACAAAUCUAAAAUCGCUAUUUUCUAGAGAAACGGAGACAACAAAAGUUCUAAACCUCUUUGACAUUCAUCAUAUGUUAGUGAAGGAUGCAACUACGCAUUAAAACAGUAUUUUUCAUAUUUUUGAAUUUUUCUCAAAAUCUAUGUGUUAACCCUUACGAAAUAUUGAGUCUUUCGGUAAAUGUUCUAUAUACUGAAGCCUAUGAUCAUUAGUGUUGUUUUAAAAUUUCUAAACACAUAUUCCCUUUUUAUUAAUGUAUAUUAAACUCUCUUUCAUGGUACAUGGGCAUCGUUUUAGUUUUUUGUCAAUUAAUUUAGUAAAACUUCAUAAUAUUCUUUAAAUUGGUGGACUACCCACUAUAAAAUCGCUAUUCUCUAGAAAAACGGAGACAACAAAGGUUUCAAACCUCUUUGACCUUCAUCAUAUGUUAUUGAAGGCUGCAACUAUGAAUUAAAACAGUAUUUUUCAUAUCUUUAAAAAAAUUUCAAAAUCUAUGUGUUAACCCCUACGAAUAUAUUGAAUUUUUCUGUAAAUUCUCUAUAUACUGAAGCUUAUGAUCUUUAGUGUUGUUUUUAAAUUUCUAAACACAUUAUACAUUUGUAUUAAUGUAUAUUAAACUCUCUUUCAUGGUACAUGGGCGUCGUUUUAAUUUUUUGUCUAUUAAUUUAAUAAAACUUCAUAAAACUCUCUAAAUUGGUGGACUAACCACUAUAAAAUCGCUAUUUUCUAGAGAAACGGAGACAACAAAAGUUUCAAACCUCUUUGACCUUCAUCAUAUGUUAGUGAAUGAUGCAACUAUGCAUUAAAACAAUAUUUUCAUAUAUUUGAAUUUUUCUCAAACCCCUUACGAAAAUAUUGAAUUUUUCGGUAAAUGCUCUAUAUACUGAAGCCUAUGAUCUUUAGUGUUGUUUUAAAAUUUCUAAACACAUUCUGUAUUAAUGUAUAUUAAACUCUCUUUCAUGGUAUAUGAACAUCGUUUAAAUUUUUGGUCAAUUAAUUUAGUAAAACUUCAUAAUACUCUCUAAAUUAGUGGACAACAAUACUUCAUAAUAUUAACCACUAUAAAAUCGUCAUUCUCUAGAAAAACAGAGACAACAAAAGUUUUAAACCUCUUUGACCUUCAUCAUAUGUUAGUGAAUGAUGCAACUAUGCAUUAAAACAGUAUUUUUAUAUUUUUGAAUUUUUCUCAAAAUAUAUGUGUUAACUAUAUUAGUCUAUAGAAACUAAAUAAAUCUGAAAUAUUGAGAGAAGGUGGGGUAUUAGAUCUAGAAGUUUGAUAGAAUUUGAAAGAAUUAUAGUUUUCAUUAAAUUCUAAUGUUAUUAAAUUAAGGAUUUCAUCAAAUUUUUCAAAAUUUUGUAUUAUUUGAUUAAAGAUUUGUAAUCAAUUUUCUAAUUCUUUUAAAUUCUAAUGUUAUUCAAAUAUUUGGUAGAUUUUAUAGUAAUGUUAUUUAAAAUGAAUUUAAUGAAAAAGGUAAUGUAAAAAUGCGAAGAACCAAUUUCGUACUCUUACGAGGAGAUUUGUCAUCGUAAAAAAACACAACAUAAAGUUAAGUCUGAAUCGAACCGGGACUAGUUGACCGUCGAUAUAAUUAUAAAUUAUUUUCACAUAGACCGUAACAGAAAUAACAGAAUAAGAUAAUAUUAUUUUCUGAAGAAAACCAAAAAUAAAAAGGGAAAUACAAAAGAAUCGUCUCCUUCCUCGCUGACUCUGACCUGUUCCUCUAACUCUCUCUGCUUCUUUGUCAUUUUCUCUCUCAUCUCUGGAGCUGGAGGGUCAACCCCUCCCUCCUUCCCACCUAAACCCUCUUUUCUCCUUUCUCUCUCUCUCUUUCAUGCUAACUGCUUCUCCGCCGCCAUGUCCCAUCUCCGCCUCAUCCUCCUCGCCGUUCUCUCCCUCGUCUCCUCCACUCUCUCUCAGCCCUCUCCUCCCUCCGGUAUGAUCUCCACCUCUCUUUAUCCGUAUCACUAUCUGUGAUCUCCUCUCAAUUUCCCGGUUUUCGAUUUUUCAGCGAUCCUAAUCGACUGCGGCGCCUCCGCCGCAACCGUAAUCACCGGCCGGAGGUGGCAACCGGACGGCGACUUCAUAUCCGCCGGAACCUCCAAAAACGUCUCCGAACAAGUCCUCGACCAAGUCCUAUCCACCGUCAGAUCCUUCCCUCUCACUCGCCGCCGCAAGUUCUGCUACGUCGUCGCCGUCUCCCGCGGCUG
Molecule: long non-coding RNA, 5096 nt
Filed under: Brassica napus (rape)
Lineage: Eukaryota; Viridiplantae; Streptophyta; Magnoliopsida; Brassicales; Brassicaceae
Description: long non-coding RNA (BNAP_LNC018037)
Source: RNAcentral